UACAGAGGUCUCAAGCGUUGUUCGGAUUCAUUGGGCGUAAAGGGUGCGUAGGUGGCGCGCUAAGUCAGGUGUGAAAUUUCGGAGCUUAACUCCGAAACUGCAUUUGAUACUGGCAUGCUUGAGGACUGGAGAGGAGACUGGAAUUCACGGUGUAGCAGUGAAAUGCGUAGAGAUCGUGAGGAACACCAGUGGCGAAGGCGGGUCUCUGGACAGUUCCUGACACUGAGGCACGAAGGCCAGGGGAGCAAACGGG
RNAcentral lists this ribosomal RNA (253 nucleotides) under uncultured bacterium. RNAcentral describes it as "partial 16S ribosomal RNA". It matches the Rfam family "Bacterial small subunit ribosomal RNA", at positions 524 to 776 of the family's 1533-position model. The record is from RNAcentral.